AUUGAACGCUGGCGGCAGGCCUAACACAUGCAAGUCGAACGGUAACAGGAAGAAGCCUGCUUCUUUGCUGACGAGUGGCGGACGGGUGAGUAAUGUCUGGGAAACUGCCUGAUGGAGGGGGAUAACUACUGGAAACGGUAGCUAAUACCGCAUAACGUCGCAAGCCCAAAAAGGGGGACCUUCGGGCCUCUUGCCAUCGGAUGUGCCCAGAUGGGAUUCGCUAGUAGGUGGGGUAACGGCUCACCUAGGCGACGAUCCCUAGCUGGUCUGAGAGGAUGACCAGCCACACUGGAACUGAGACACGGUCCAGACUCCUACGGGAGGCAGCAGUGGGGAAUAUUGCACAAUGGGCGCAAGCCUGAUGCAGCCAUGCCGCGUGUAUGAAGAAGGCCUUCGGGUUGUAAAGUACUUUCAGCGGGGAGGAAGGGAGUAAAGUUAAUACCUUUGCUCAUUGACGUUACCCGCAGAAGAAGCACCGGCUAACUCCGUG
This 490-nucleotide ribosomal RNA is filed under the name uncultured bacterium. Its description in RNAcentral is "partial 16S ribosomal RNA". It matches the Rfam family "Bacterial small subunit ribosomal RNA", at positions 30 to 507 of the family's 1533-position model. The record is from RNAcentral.